Molecule: long non-coding RNA, 594 nt
Filed under: Homo sapiens (human)
Lineage: Eukaryota; Metazoa; Chordata; Mammalia; Primates; Hominidae
Description: non-protein coding lnc-DEC1-10:8
Source: RNAcentral
GUGUGAUUUCAUUAUGAAGUCAGAUGGAAUGAGGAGUGUGUAAAUCCAGAAUCAGAAUCCCAGCGACGAAGCUUUUCUUGCUCUGUUACCUUGGAAAAUGCUUUGAACCAGACCAGAUAAGAAAAGUAAAAGUCUGGAGUGUAAUCCUUCCAAUUGUCUUUUGGCUUCUCUUCUACUUCUACAAAAAGUUCAACAAAAAUUAGAAUUUGAAACAACGGAAAGAGAGAAAUUUUAGGUUAGUAGCUAAAUCCCCAAGGAUACUAAUUAGAGAAAGAUGUUGGAAUUGCCUUAAUGAGUCACUGCCAACGCAAGUCCUAAGGAAGCAAAGACUGUGAGUAAGCAAAGGUAGCCAGCUGCUGGGAAGAGGACAAUAGAGGAAAAGGUCAGAGGGACUUUAAAAGACUGACUGUGGGCUCCCUGAGGGAAGGAGGGAUGGAGAGAGUAUCGGGUCCUAUAGAAUACCUUAAUUGUUUUUAUGACUUCUCUUUUCCAUAUCCAGUUCACAUGUACUCCUUUCUGUGCAUUAAAUUGAGUUUCUAUUGGCUUCUUUGUAACAAAAAGAACUGAACAGAAACACAUAUCUAUUGGACAAAG